Molecule: ribosomal RNA, 413 nt
Filed under: uncultured prokaryote
Description: bacterial SSU rRNA
Rfam family: Bacterial small subunit ribosomal RNA
Source: RNAcentral
GUGUCAGCCGCCGCGGUAAAACGUAGGAGGCGAACGUUAUCCGGAUUUACUGGGCGUAAAGAGCGCGAAGGCGGUCUUGCAAGUCGGGCGUGAAAUCUCCCGGCUCAACUGGGAGGGGUCGUUCGAUACUGCAGGACUUGAGGACGGGAGAGGGGAGUGGAAUUCCCGGUGUAGCGGUGGAAUGCGCAGAGAUCGGGAGGAACACCAGUGGCGAAGGCGGCUCCCUGGCCCGGUCCUGACGCUGAGGCACGAAAGCGUGGGGAGCGAACGGGAUUAGAUACCCCGGUAGUCCACGCCCUAAACGAUGGAUGCUAGGUGUUGGAUCCGAGAGGAUUCAGCGCCGAAGCUAACGCGUGAAGCAUCCCGCCUGGGGACUACGGCCGCAAGGCUAAAACUUAAAUGAAUUGACGGGG